UUGGUUCUACCCGAAGGCGAUGCGCUAACCCGCAAGGGAGGCAGUCGACCACGGUAGGGUCAGCGACUGGGGUGAAGUCGGAACAAGGUAGCCGUAGGAACCUGCGGCUGGAUCACCUCCUU
RNAcentral lists this ribosomal RNA (122 nucleotides) under uncultured Stichotrichia. RNAcentral describes it as "partial Bacterial small subunit ribosomal RNA". It matches the Rfam family "Bacterial small subunit ribosomal RNA", at positions 1411 to 1532 of the family's 1533-position model. The record is from RNAcentral. Lineage: Eukaryota; Ciliophora; Spirotrichea.